AGCUUUGCACAGUGGCAGUGUCGUAGCCGAUGAGGUUUAUCUGAGGCGCGAUUAUUGCUAAUUGAAAACAGUGUAAACCCACAAUUACUUUUGCACCAACCUAAUCAAUUCCGGGGACAUGUAUUUCUCUUUUUCUAAACAU
This 142-nucleotide small nuclear RNA is filed under the name Tupaia belangeri chinensis (Chinese tree shrew). RNAcentral describes it as "Tupaia chinensis (Chinese tree shrew) U4 spliceosomal RNA". It matches the Rfam family "U4 spliceosomal RNA". Rfam says of the family: U4 small nuclear RNA (U4 snRNA) is a component of the major U2-dependent spliceosome. The structure of U4 snRNA from yeast and human has been reported. The record is from Rfam by way of RNAcentral. Lineage: Eukaryota; Metazoa; Chordata; Mammalia; Scandentia; Tupaiidae.